This 374-nucleotide ribosomal RNA is filed under the name uncultured prokaryote. RNAcentral's name for it is "bacterial SSU rRNA". It matches the Rfam family "Bacterial small subunit ribosomal RNA", at positions 524 to 896 of the family's 1533-position model. The record is from RNAcentral.
AACGUAGGAGGCGAGCGUUAUCCGGAUUUACUGGGCGUAAAGCGCAUGCAGGUGGUUUGGUAAGUUGGAUGUGAAAGCUCCUGGCUUAACUGGGAGAGGUCGUUCAAUACUACCAAACUUGAGGAUGGGAGAGGGAGGUGGAAUUCCGGGUGUAGUGGUGAAAUGCGUAGAUAUCCGGAGGAACACCAGUGGCGAAAGCGGCCUCCUGGCCCAUUUCUGACACUCAGAUGCGAAAGCUAGGGGAGCGAACGGGAUUAGAGACCCCGGUAGUCCUAGCUGUAAACGAUGUGAACUUGGCGUCGGUGGGUUCAAAUCCGUCGGUGCCGAAGCUAACGCGAUAAGUUCACCGCCUGGGGACUACGGCCGCAAGGUUA